CUACCAACUCCAUUAAAUGAAUUGUCUUGCAUGGAUGUGUUUUAUUUGAGUUGGGGCUACAUAUAUUUAUUAGAUUGAAAACCUGCACAUAAUUGACUUGAGUUAAUCCAAUGAGCCAUUUUUUGAGUGUGGA
Thalassophryne amazonica is the source of this 133-nucleotide long non-coding RNA. RefSeq lists it as uncharacterized. The record is from RefSeq and is a predicted model, not a curated record. The transcript has 4 exons. NCBI's taxonomy places the organism in Eukaryota, Metazoa, Chordata, Actinopteri, Batrachoidiformes, Batrachoididae.